GUUCCGUAGGUGAACCUGCGGAAGGAUCAUUAAAGAAUGUCCCGUCUUUCGAAAUGGGUUCUAUUCCAAAACCGUGUCUACAUACCUUUGUUGCUUUGGCGGGCCGCCGUCGGGCGUUGGCCUCGGCUAACCGUGCCCGCCAGAGAACCCAAACUCGUUUUGUUUAGUGCUGUCUGAGUACUAUAAAAUAGUUAAAACUUUCAACAACGGAUCUCUUGGUUCUG
RNAcentral lists this unclassified non-coding RNA (224 nucleotides) under plant metagenome. Its description in RNAcentral is "partial contains small subunit ribosomal RNA, internal transcribed spacer 1, and 5.8S ribosomal RNA". The record is from RNAcentral.